This 254-nucleotide ribosomal RNA is filed under the name uncultured bacterium. Its description in RNAcentral is "partial 16S ribosomal RNA". It matches the Rfam family "Bacterial small subunit ribosomal RNA", at positions 524 to 776 of the family's 1533-position model. The record is from RNAcentral.
UACGAAGGGGGCUAGCGUUGCUCGGAAUCACUGGGCGUAAAGGGCGCGUAGGCGGCUCAUGAAGGCUGUGGUGAAAGUCCGGGGCUCAACCUCGGAUCGGCCGUGGCGACUCGUGGGCUGGAGCACUGUAGAGGCGGGUGGAAUUCCGGGUGUAGCGGUGGAAUGCGUAGAGAUCCGGAAGAACACCAGUGGCGAAGGCGGCCCGCUGGGCAGUGGCUGACGCUGAGGCGCGACAGCGUGGGGGAGCAAACAGG